CCUACGGGGGGCAGCAGUGGGGAAUAUUGGGCAAUGGGCGCAAGCCUGACCCAGCAACGCCGUGUGAGGGAUGAAGGCCUUCGGGUCGUAAACCUCUGUCAGAAGGGAAGAAUGGGCAUAGUUCGAAUAGGGCUAUGUUGUGACGGUACCUUCAGAGGAAGCACCGGCUAACUCCGUGCCAGCAGCCGCGGUAAUACGGAGGGUGCGAGCGUUAUUCGGAAUCACUGGGCGUAAAGGGCGCGUAGGCGGUCUGGUAAGUCAGGGGUGAAAUCCCACGGCCCAACCGUGGAACUGCCGUUGAAACUGCUGGGCUUGGAUCCUGGAGAGGGUGGCGGAAUUCCUGGUGUAGGAGUAAAAUCCGUAGAUAUCAGGAGGAACACCGGUGGCGAAGGCGGCCCCCGGGAAAGGUAUCGACGCUGAGGCGCGAAAGUGGGGGGAGCAAACAGGAUUAGAUCCC
This 457-nucleotide ribosomal RNA is filed under the name uncultured Desulfomicrobiaceae bacterium. RNAcentral's name for it is "partial 16S ribosomal RNA". It matches the Rfam family "Bacterial small subunit ribosomal RNA", at positions 338 to 786 of the family's 1533-position model. The record is from RNAcentral. Lineage: Bacteria; Pseudomonadati; Thermodesulfobacteriota; Desulfovibrionia; Desulfovibrionales; Desulfomicrobiaceae.